Molecule: ribosomal RNA, 463 nt
Filed under: uncultured bacterium
Lineage: Bacteria
Description: partial 16S ribosomal RNA
Rfam family: Bacterial small subunit ribosomal RNA
Source: RNAcentral
GAUGAACGCUGACAGCAUGCUUAACACAUGCAAGUCGAUGGGGAAGUGGUGCUUGCACCAUGGUAACCAUGGCGGACGGGUGGGUAACGCGUAAGGAACUUACCUGCGGGACCGGGAUAACAGCAGGAAACUGCUGACAAGACCGGAUAAGGUCAUUAAGCUGCAUAGCUUAGUGAUGAAAGGAGACGCCUGCGGAGAGCCUUGCGUCCUAUUAGCUAGUUGGAGGGGUAACGGCCCACCAAGGCGAAGAUAGGUAGCCGGCCUGAGAGGGUGGACGGCCACAAGGGGACUGAGAUACGGCCCUUACUCCUACGGGAGGCAGCAGUGGGGAAUAUUGGACAAUGGGGGCAACCCUGAUCCAGCAAUUCUGUGUGCACGAAGACGGUUUUCGGAUUGUAAAGUGCUUUCAGCAGGGAAGAAGGAAGUGACGGUACCUGCAGAAGAAGCGACGGCUAAAUACGUG